UACGUAGGGUGCAAGCGUUGUCCGGAAUUAUUGGGCGUAAAGAGCUCGUAGGCGGUCUGUUGCGUCCGCUGUGAAAACUCGGGGCUUAACCCCGAGCCUGCAGUGGAUACGGGCAGACUAGAGGUAGGUAGGGGAGAAUGGAAUUCCCGGUGUAGCGGUGAAAUGCGCAGAUAUCGGGAGGAACACCGGUGGCGAAGGCGGUUCUCUGGGCCUUACCUGACGCUGAGGUGCGAAAGCGUGGGGAGCAAACAGG
Molecule: ribosomal RNA, 253 nt
Filed under: uncultured bacterium
Lineage: Bacteria
Description: partial 16S ribosomal RNA
Rfam family: Bacterial small subunit ribosomal RNA
Source: RNAcentral